GACGAACGCUGGCGGCGUGCUUAACACAUGCAAGUCGAACGGAAAGGCCCUGCUUUUGUGGGGUGCUCGAGUGGCGAACGGGUGAGUAACACGUGAGUAACCUGCCCUUGACUUUGGGAUAACUUCAGGAAACUGGGGCUAAUACCGGAUAGGAGCUCCUGCUGCAUGGUGGGGGGUGGAAAGUUUCGGCGGUUGGGGAUGGACUCGCGGCUUAUCAGCUUGUUGGUGGGGUAGUGGCUUACCAAGGCUUUGACGGGUAGCCGGCCUGAGAGGGUGACCGGCGACAUUGGGACUGAGAUACGGCGCAGACUCCUACGGGAGGCAGCAGUGGGGAAUAUUGCACAAUGGGCGGAAGCGUGAUGAAGCAACGUCGCGUGCGGGAUGACGGCCUUCGGGUUGUAAACCGCUUUCGCCUGUGACGAAGCGUGAGUGACGGUAAUGGGUAAAGAAGCACCGGCUAACUACGUG
Molecule: ribosomal RNA, 468 nt
Filed under: uncultured bacterium
Lineage: Bacteria
Description: partial 16S ribosomal RNA
Rfam family: Bacterial small subunit ribosomal RNA
Source: RNAcentral